RNAcentral lists this ribosomal RNA (292 nucleotides) under uncultured bacterium. Its description in RNAcentral is "partial 16S ribosomal RNA". It matches the Rfam family "Bacterial small subunit ribosomal RNA", at positions 505 to 796 of the family's 1533-position model. The record is from RNAcentral.
GUGCCAGCCGCCGCGGUAAAACGUAGGAGGCAAGCGUUAUCCGGAGUUACUGGGCGUAAAGCGUGCGUAGGCGGGUUGGUAAGUGGGUGGUGAAAGCGCUCGGCUAAACCGGGCGAGUGCCAUUCAGACUGCCAAUCUAGAGGCGGAUAGAGGGGUGCGGAAUUCCGGGUGUAGCGGUGAAAUGUGUAGAGAUCCGGAGGAACACCAGUGGUGCAAACGGCGCCCUGGGUCCGAACUGACGCUGAGGCACGAAAGCGUGGGGAGCGAACGGGAUUAGAUACCCCAGUAGUCC